CCGUGCGUGGUUGGGGGUGGGGAGGAGUUACGGCUCGAAAGCUGUCUUUAAAAUACAUUAUAGAGUGGGCCGAACGAGUUCAGAGUGGGAUAUUCCACGUGUGGGUUGCUCCUUCUGCCUGGGUCCCUGAGUGAGAAGAACUGCCCAUGGCCUCCAUAUACAAAGAAUGAAGAAUAGCUGCCAGUGGUCCUACAAAUUUGAAGAUUUGAAGCCCAUUACAGUGUUGAAGAUGGUUUUCUUCCCGUUGCCAUCAUUUCAAGUUAGGGUGGAUUUGACUCCGAGAGGCUCAGAGCUGUACGUAAACUCCUCCAGGGCAGGACCUGACUCUUCAGAAGAAUUUUUUAACCCCUGCACCCCCACCCCCCACCCUGGAGCUGCCCAGGUCAAGGCCCUGAUAGAGCAGACGUUCAAGAGCAAUGACUAACUGCAGUUGAAAGCCCAGAAGAUACAACAAGCAAAAUCCUGCAUGAAAGAACUUUGCUCCAGACUAAGAUGUAAUCCAGUCAUUCCCUUUUCAUAAGACAAGUGUUGUCUGAAGGGGUCUGCAUGUGAUUUUGAGGCGAAAGGGCAGACAGAGCAGCAGAACUCAGGUCCCACUUUGCCCUGUAUCUGGAGCCUAUGAAAGGGGAAAGGAAGUGAGCCAUCUCGAUUCCCCAAGACAGCUGGGCAAGCACAGAGAAUGAGCUUUAAGAUUCAUAGUGGAGGAGUUCCCGUCAUGGCGCAGUGGUUAACAAAUCCGACUAGGAACCAUGAGGUUGUGGGUUCGGUCCC
Molecule: non-coding RNA, 771 nt
Organism: Sus scrofa (pig)
Lineage: Eukaryota; Metazoa; Chordata; Mammalia; Artiodactyla; Suidae
Source: RefSeq, a predicted model, not a curated record